Molecule: long non-coding RNA, 667 nt
Filed under: Bos indicus x Bos taurus (hybrid cattle)
Lineage: Eukaryota; Metazoa; Chordata; Mammalia; Artiodactyla; Bovidae
Description: lncRNA (ENSBIXG00005013946.1)
Source: RNAcentral
CAAAACACGUCAAUCUCUCAUUUUUUGUCUUAUAUAUCACUACUUUCUCCAAAAUUGUCAGUCAGGAAAUCAAGAACAUGCAGCGUUGGACACUGUGCUUGGUGACAUGAAGAGAACCAGAAGGUUGUCACUGGCUGUACAGGCUUGGCCAGGACUGACCCGAACAGAGACUGAGGUCAAGAAAAGAGAGAACUGGUGACGGUGUUUGACUGUGUGAAGCCACAUCACAGUCCUGUCCGCAUGGGCCAGUCUGAGUCUGCUGGCGUGGAUGGCAGGAUAUUCUCUCCAGUUACAGGGUUUAACUACAGAGCUACCCCACGCCUGAGGCCAGGGGCGGCGGCCGGGAGGAGCAACCCCAUGUCCAAGGAGCAGUGGCUGUGCGGGUGCAGGAGGGCCGAGAAGAACUACUCCAUGUCUAAGUCAGGAGGGGCGGUGAUGAGGAGAUACUCCUCGUCCAAGGUAAGGAGAAGCAGCUGUCCUUUGCUGGAGCAGCCGUGAAGAGAUAACCCAUGUCCAAGGUAAGAGAAACCCAAGUAAGACAGUAGGUGUUGUGAGAGGGCAUCAGAGGGCAGACACACUGAAACCAUAGUCACAGAACACUAGUCAAUCUGAUCACAAGGACAGCAGCCUUGUCUAACUCAAGGAAACUAAGCCAUACCGUGUGGGG